CACAGAUCAGGUAGCUUGU
RNAcentral lists this non-coding RNA (19 nucleotides) under synthetic construct. The record is from RNAcentral.